UUCAAAAAAAAUAACAGAGAAGCUCUGCUAGGGUUCCUCUUUUAUGCCGCCGCCGCCAAUCGAGGCAUACCACGGCCUCCGUCGACACCCCGGUCUCCGAUCGCGAGGGAGAGGGGCGCCAACUCAGCGAUUCCGACGAAAAAAGGUAUGUUCGUCCCUUUUCUUUAUAUUUUAAACAAAAAUAAAUAAAAAUAAAAAGAAACUAUAUAAAAAAAAUAAGAUAUAUGUAUAUAUGAAAAAAAAUAAAAGAAUGAUAAUCCCCACCCAGUUUUACACUGAAAAUAUUGGCCUUUUAUAGCCGAAAAUAAUAACGAAAAAUAUAAAAAAAAUACAAAUCCCCUAUUUUUCGUUAUUUUGCUGUUGUCGUUGGUUGUUUGUUGCUGCAGGUACGGCCAGUCAACGUCGAGGCAAACGUGCGCGAAGUGCGCGGGGCUACUGUUGGGAUGUGCGGCGACUGCGGGCAAAUGCUGUUAGGGUUUCUGAAAUUUUAAUGUUUGGGCUAGGUUAAUUUAGGUUUUGGGCUGUUAAUUGGGCCUGUUUAUUGGUUUGGGCCCGGGCAUAUUUGGGCUUGUACAUAUCAUAUUAAAAAUAUUAAUUGCAUUAUAAUUUUUUAUCAUGUUAUUGUCAUUUUUCUAUAACACGUUAAAAAGAG
RNAcentral lists this long non-coding RNA (652 nucleotides) under Gossypium barbadense (sea-island cotton). RNAcentral's name for it is "long non-coding RNA (GBAR_LNC015868)". Lineage: Eukaryota; Viridiplantae; Streptophyta; Magnoliopsida; Malvales; Malvaceae. The record is from RNAcentral.